Molecule: long non-coding RNA, 759 nt
Organism: Cheilinus undulatus (humphead wrasse)
Lineage: Eukaryota; Metazoa; Chordata; Actinopteri; Labriformes; Labridae
Exons: 3
Source: RefSeq, a predicted model, not a curated record
CGACACUCAAGUACACAGAGACGCUGAUGAUAGGAGGCAUAUUUUAAAUAUGUUUGAAAAUGGUACGAUAGUGCGACUCACACUGGAGAAGAAAAGUGAAGAGCCAACAAAGUACUUGCGAAAGACACAGAAGAAAGAAUCAUUAGACUUGAGGCCAAAUGACUUCAAGUGACCAGUUCUGGAAGCGUAUCUGAAGGCUGAUGACUGUACUGAUCUGGAAUACUGUCUGAUCACAAAUUUGUGAGACCUACAUAACGCCAACCAUACAUCCCAGUGCUAUGGACAAACAAGUGAGAUGCAUCACUUUGGACUUCAUGUUGAAUCGGAACCUAACCAGCCAUUUCACAUUGAUACAUUUGUUGAUCACCUAUCAGAAUUUUUAGGGAACGUACUUUGGAUGAUAUUUAAUGAUGUCCUAUUGUUUGAUGAUGACCUGUCAUUUGAGGACAGUUCAAAGCUAAAAACCAAGAGGAGGGAACAGAACCCAAAAGCUCUACAAACUCUGGAGAUCAUCCACGUAAAAUGUAAUGCUUUUUACAGCAUUAUAUAAACCAAAUUUUCUCAAUGCAAGGGUCGUAGUGUAGAAUUCUGUUUUUUGUUCUGAUGAAUAAUUUCAUUCACAAAUGUGUCUGUUAUUGGAGGCAAUGAUAGUGGUAUUUUUAAAUGACAUCUGGGGAAAUAAUAAACAGGACUUUGUGUAAAUACUUUGUUGAAAUAGACACUUUAUAGCCUUCAAGUUACUAAUAAAUUUAGUUUUUU